GCUUUGGGUGCUGACGGUGGGGGU
RNAcentral lists this non-coding RNA (24 nucleotides) under Cricetulus griseus (Chinese hamster). The record is from RNAcentral. Lineage: Eukaryota; Metazoa; Chordata; Mammalia; Rodentia; Cricetidae.